AGGGCCUGUAGCUCAAUGGUUAGAGCCGGCGGCUCAUAACCGCUUGGUUGGGGGUUCGAGUCCCCUAGGGCGUACCA
This 77-nucleotide transfer RNA is filed under the name Rhizobium leguminosarum. Its description in RNAcentral is "tRNA-Met". It matches the Rfam family "tRNA". Rfam says of the family: Transfer RNA (tRNA) molecules are approximately 80 nucleotides in length. Their secondary structure includes four short double-helical elements and three loops (D, anti-codon, and T loops). Lineage: Bacteria; Pseudomonadati; Pseudomonadota; Alphaproteobacteria; Hyphomicrobiales; Rhizobiaceae. The record is from RNAcentral. RNAcentral also lists the same sequence under 1 other name.